This 80-nucleotide transfer RNA is filed under the name Candidatus Bathyarchaeota archaeon. RNAcentral describes it as "tRNA-Ser". It matches the Rfam family "tRNA". Rfam says of the family: Transfer RNA (tRNA) molecules are approximately 80 nucleotides in length. The record is from RNAcentral. Lineage: Archaea; Thermoproteati; Candidatus Bathyarchaeota.
GCCGGGGUGGCUCAGCCGGUUAGAUGGCGCCUGGGCUAGAGAUCCGGAGGUCGCGGGUUCGAAACCCGCCCCCGGCACCA